Molecule: non-coding RNA, 72 nt
Organism: Kogia breviceps (pygmy sperm whale)
Lineage: Eukaryota; Metazoa; Chordata; Mammalia; Artiodactyla; Physeteridae
Source: the annotation of a RefSeq genome assembly
GGGGGUGUAGCUCAGUGGUAGAGCGUAUGCUUAACAUGCACGAAGCCGCAGGUUCGAUACCUGGUACCUCCA